CGCGGCCUAUCAGCUUGUUGGUGGGGUAAUGGCCUACCAAGGCGACGACGGGUAGCCGGCCUGAGAGGGCGACCGGCCACACUGGGACUGAGACACGGCCCAGACUCCUACGGGAGGCAGCAGUGGGGAAUAUUGCACAAUGGGCGAAAGCCUGAUGCAGCGACGCCGCGUGAGGGAUGACGGCCUUCGGGUUGUAAACCUCUUUCAGCAGGGAAGAAGCGAAAGUGACGGUACCUGCAGAAGAAGCGCCGGCUAACUACGUGCCAGCAGCCGCGGUAAUACGUAGGGCGCAAGCGUUGUCCGGAAUUAUUGGGCGUAAAGAGCUCGUAGGCGGCUUGUCACGUCGGAUGUGAAAGCCCGGGGCUUAACCCCGGGUCUGCCUUCGAUACGGGCUAGCUAGAGUGUGGUAGGGGAGAUCGGAAUUCCUGGUGUAGCGGUGAAAUGCGCAGAUAUCAGGAGGAACACCGGUGGCGAAGGCGGAUCUCUGGGCCAUUACUGACGCUGAGGAGCGAAAGCGUGGGGAGCGAACAGGAUUAGAUACCCUGGUAGUCCACGCCGUAAACGUUGGGAACUAGGUGUUGGCGACAUUCCACGUCGUCGGUGCCGCAGCUAACGCAUUAAGUUCCCCGCCUGGGGAGUACGG
RNAcentral lists this ribosomal RNA (643 nucleotides) under uncultured bacterium. RNAcentral's name for it is "bacterial SSU rRNA". It matches the Rfam family "Bacterial small subunit ribosomal RNA", at positions 232 to 885 of the family's 1533-position model. The record is from RNAcentral.